ACUUUCAAAGGAUAAAAGACGUCCAUUAACCUUAGGCGUUAGACCCUCCUGGUGCAACUCCAGGUGAAAGUA
This 72-nucleotide transfer RNA is filed under the name Pristurus rupestris rupestris. RNAcentral's name for it is "tRNA-Leu". The record is from RNAcentral. Lineage: Eukaryota; Metazoa; Chordata; Lepidosauria; Squamata; Sphaerodactylidae.